RNAcentral lists this ribosomal RNA (253 nucleotides) under uncultured bacterium. RNAcentral's name for it is "partial 16S ribosomal RNA". It matches the Rfam family "Bacterial small subunit ribosomal RNA", at positions 524 to 776 of the family's 1533-position model. The record is from RNAcentral.
UACGGAGGAUGCAAGCGUUAUCCGGAAUGAUUGGGCGUAAAGCGUCCGCAGGUGGCUAUGUAAGUCUGCUGUUAAAGAGUGAGGCUCAACCUCAUAAAAGCAGUGGAAACUACAUAGCUAGAGUGCGUUCGGGGCAGAGGGAAUUCCUGGUGUAGCGGUGAAAUGCGUAGAUAUCAGGAAGAACACCGGUGGCGAAAGCGCUCUUCUAGGCCGCAACUGACACUGAGGGACGAAAGCUAGGGGAGCGAAUGGG